UACGUAGGGUGCAAGCGUUGUCCGGAAUUAUUGGGCGUAAAGAGCUUGUAGGCGGUUUGUCGCGUCUGCCGUGAAAAUUCGAGGCUCAACCUCGAACUUGCGGUGGGUACGGGCAGACUAGAGUGUGGUAGGGGAGACUGGAAUUCCUGGUGUAGCGGUGAAAUGCGUUGAUAUCAGGAGGAACACCCAUGGCGAAGGCAGCUAACUGGGCAUUAUCUGACGCUGAGGCGCGAAAGCGUGGGUAGCAAACAGG
This 253-nucleotide ribosomal RNA is filed under the name uncultured bacterium. RNAcentral describes it as "partial 16S ribosomal RNA". It matches the Rfam family "Bacterial small subunit ribosomal RNA", at positions 524 to 776 of the family's 1533-position model. The record is from RNAcentral.